CACGAGGAGAUUGAAGAUCUGGAGAGAAAAGUGCAGGAAUACCAAAAAAAGGAAGGACUAAGAUGAUAAGCAAGCUCAAAGAAUGUGAUCAAAAAUGGAUGCUGAUGAGCCUACUGUUCAAAAGUUGAUUGAAAUUUAAGAACAAAUGAAGGCAGAACUUGAAAAUGAGAGAUCAUUAGUUAAAACUCCGGUAAGAUACUUAC
Molecule: long non-coding RNA, 203 nt
Filed under: Calidris pygmaea (Spoon-billed sandpiper)
Lineage: Eukaryota; Metazoa; Chordata; Aves; Charadriiformes; Scolopacidae
Description: lncRNA (ENSCPGG00000017625.1)
Source: RNAcentral